GGCACGGUGGCGAAGUGGAAACGCUGCGGUCUGCAAAACCGCCAUUGCGCGGGUUCGAUUCCCGCCCGUGCCUC
Molecule: transfer RNA, 74 nt
Filed under: Microgenomates bacterium OLB22
Lineage: Bacteria; Candidatus Microgenomatota
Description: tRNA-Cys
Rfam family: tRNA
About the family: Transfer RNA (tRNA) molecules are approximately 80 nucleotides in length.
Source: RNAcentral